This is an unclassified non-coding RNA of Pongo abelii (Sumatran orangutan), 148 nucleotides long. It matches the Rfam family "Metazoan signal recognition particle RNA". Rfam says of the family: The signal recognition particle (SRP) is a universally conserved ribonucleoprotein. It is involved in the co-translational targeting of proteins to membranes. The eukaryotic SRP consists of a 300-nucleotide 7S RNA and six proteins: SRPs 72, 68, 54, 19, 14, and 9. The record is from Ensembl. NCBI's taxonomy places the organism in Eukaryota, Metazoa, Chordata, Mammalia, Primates, Hominidae.
GCCAGGCGUGGUGGCGUGUGCCUGUAGUCCCAGCUACUCAGGAGGCUGAGGCAGGAGAAUCGCUUGAACCUGGGAGGUGGAGGUUGCAGUAAGCCGAGAUGGCGCCACUGCACUCCAGCCUGGGUGACAGAGCGAGACUCUGCCUCAA